UAUCUACUCCCUCCAUUCCAAAUUACUUGUCUUAGAUUUGUCUAGAUAUGGAUGUAUCUAGACUCAUUUUAACGCUAGAUACAUCCGUAUCUAGACAAAUCUAAGACAAGUAAUUCGGAACGGAGGGAGUAAUUG
Non-coding RNA from Triticum aestivum (bread wheat), 135 nucleotides. Lineage: Eukaryota; Viridiplantae; Streptophyta; Magnoliopsida; Poales; Poaceae. The record is from Rfam.